RNAcentral lists this ribosomal RNA (516 nucleotides) under uncultured bacterium. RNAcentral describes it as "partial 16S ribosomal RNA". It matches the Rfam family "Bacterial small subunit ribosomal RNA", at positions 29 to 523 of the family's 1533-position model. The record is from RNAcentral.
AACGAACGCUGGCGGCGUGCUUAACACAUGCAAGUCGAACGCGAAAGGGACUUCGGUCCUGAGUAGAGUGGCGCACGGGUGAGUAACGCGUAAGUGAUCUACCCCUGUAUUUGGGAUAACUAUGGGAAACUGUAGCUAAUACCGGAUACGUUCAUGUAGUUGCGAUUAUGUGAAGAAAGAUGGCCUCUGAUUCAAGCUAUUGUACAGGGAGGAGCUUGCGUACCAUUAGCUAGUUGGUAGGGUAAUGGCCUACCAAGGCAACGAUGGUUAGCGGGUCUGAGAGGAUGAUCCGCCACACUGGAACUGAAACACGGACCAGACUCCUACGGGAGGCAGCAGUGAGGAAUAUUGCGCAAUGGGGGCAACCCUGACGCAGCGACGCCGCGUGGAUGAUGAAGGCCUUCGGGUCGUAAAAUCCUGUCAGAUGGAAAGAAGUGUGAUGUGGUUAAUACCCAUGUCAUUUGACGGUACCAUCAGAGGAAGCACCGGCUAACUCCGUGCCAGCAGCCGCCGCCG